RNAcentral lists this ribosomal RNA (433 nucleotides) under uncultured bacterium. RNAcentral's name for it is "partial 16S ribosomal RNA". It matches the Rfam family "Bacterial small subunit ribosomal RNA", at positions 29 to 507 of the family's 1533-position model. The record is from RNAcentral.
AACGAACGCUGGCGGCAGGCCUAACACAUGCAAGUCGAGCGAGACCUUCGGGUCUAGCGGCGGACGGGUGAGUAACGCGUGGGAACGUGCCCUUUUCUGCGGAAUAGCCUCGGGAAACUGAGCGUAAUACCGCAUACGCCCUUUGGGGGAAAGAUUUAUCGGAAAAGGAUCGGCCCGCGUUGGAUUAGGUAGUUGGUGGGGUAAUGGCCUACCAAGCCUACGAUCCAUAGCUGGUUUGAGAGGAUGAUCAGCCACACUGGGACUGAGACACGGCCCAGACUCCUACGGGAGGCAGCAGUGGGGAAUCUUAGACAAUGGGGGCAACCCUGAUCGAGCCAUGCCGCGUGAGUGAUGAAGGGCUUAGGAUUGUAAAGCUCUUUCAGCUGGGAAGAUAAUGACGGUACCAGCAGAAGAAGCCCCGGCUAACUCCGUG